ACAACAUUAGGACCGUCGGUCUACCGAGCAAUAUCACCCGCUCAGUGGAAGAUCUUUCCCUUUGUCGU
This 68-nucleotide microRNA precursor is filed under the name Bombyx mori (domestic silkworm). Its description in RNAcentral is "mir-2774 microRNA precursor family". It matches the Rfam family "mir-2774 microRNA precursor family". Lineage: Eukaryota; Metazoa; Arthropoda; Insecta; Lepidoptera; Bombycidae. The record is from Rfam by way of RNAcentral.